GCCCUUGUAGCUCAAUGGAUAAGAGCAGUCCAUUUGUAAUGGACCGAUUAGUGUUCGAUUCACUGCGGGGGCA
Baffinella frigidus is the source of this 73-nucleotide non-coding RNA. The record is from the annotation of a GenBank genome assembly. Lineage: Eukaryota; Cryptophyceae; Cryptomonadales; Baffinellaceae.